UACGUAGGUGGCAAGCGUUGUCCGGAUUUAUUGGGUUUAAAGGGUGCGUAGGCGGCCCUGUAAGUCAGUGCUGAAAUAUCCCGGCUUAACCGGGAGGGUGGCAUUGAUACUGCGGGGCUAGAGUACAGAUGAGGUAGGCGGAGUUGACGGUGUAGCGGUGAAAUGCUUAGAUAUCGUCAAGAACACCUAUAGCGAAGGCAGCUUACUAGGCUGUAACUGACGCUGAGGCACGAAAGUGUGGGGAUCAAACAGG
Molecule: ribosomal RNA, 253 nt
Filed under: uncultured bacterium
Lineage: Bacteria
Description: partial 16S ribosomal RNA
Rfam family: Bacterial small subunit ribosomal RNA
Source: RNAcentral